Long non-coding RNA from Magallana angulata, 506 nucleotides. RefSeq lists it as uncharacterized. The record is from RefSeq and is a predicted model, not a curated record. The transcript has 4 exons. NCBI's taxonomy places the organism in Eukaryota, Metazoa, Mollusca, Bivalvia, Ostreida, Ostreidae.
GUUGGGACGGGACUUCUACAUUCAGCAUUGUUGAAGUUUGUUUCAAAGGACAUUGUUAUCCUCCAUGAUGUUGCGCUCGAAAGUACCCGGAUACAGAGAAGGGUUGAAUGUCUACCAAACGUUUACCUGUCCACGGACGGACUCGGCAUGGACGUCGGCGUCCCUAAGGAUGAACUGUAGUGUUGGAGGCGACCAACCGUUUAACCAUUAUUACUGUAUCCCUAACGCCGAGAGGACCCAUUUUGUAGAGUUUUGUUACGACAGAGCUAGUUUGAAGACCGAGAAAGGCAAUUGCUGGGAAUUAGGUGGAAUAGGGUACAUAAACCAAGUCGACUGCACGAACUUCGUCAAAGGAUGCCCAGACUACACGUACUUGAGCGAACGAGUUUACAAAUUUCCAGCUUGUCUAGAUUUGAAUUUUUCUGAACAAUGUUUCAACGAGGAGCCUGGCUGCACAGUUUUGAAAAAUUCUACAAAGUAUGUACGAUGUUGUUGGUGUUUCGUUU